GAAAUAACUGGCGUAACGCGUGCGCAGCGCUCCGGAAAGAAAGAUGUGAAAUCCCAGAGCUUAACUUUGGAAACUGCAUUUUUAACUACCGAGCUAGAGUGUGUCAGAGGGAGGUGGAAUUCCGCGUGUAGCAGUGAAAUGCGUAGAUAUGCGGAGGAACACCGAUGGCGAAGGCAGCCUCCUGGGAUAACACUGACGCUCAUGCACGAAAGCGUGGGGAGCAAACAGGAUUAGAUACCCUGGUAGUCCACGCCCUAAACGAUGUCAACUAGCUGUUGGGGCCUUCGGGCCUUGGUAGCGCAGCUAACGCGUGAAGUUGACCGCCUGGGGAGUACGGUCGCAAGAUUAAAACUCAAAGGAAUUGACGGGGACCCGCACAAGCGGUGGAUGAUGUGGAUUAAUUCGAUGCAACGCGAAAAACCUUACCUACCCUUGACAUGUCUGGAAUUCCGAAGAGAUUUGGAAGUGCUCGCAAGAGAACUGGAACACAGGUGCUGCAUGGCUGUCGUCAGCUCGUGUCGUGAGAUGUUGGGUUAAGUCCCGCAACGAGCGCAACCCUUGUCAUUAGUUGCUACGAAAGGGCACUCUAAUGAGACUGCCGGUGACAAACCGGAGGAAGGUGGGGAUGACGUCAAGUCCUCAUGGCCCUUAUGGGUAGGGCUUCACACGUCAUACAAUGGUCGGGACAGAGGGUCGCCAACCCGCGAGGGGGAGCCAAUCCCAGAAACCCGAUCGUAGUCCGGAUCGCAGUCUGCAACUCGACUGCGUGAAGUCGGAAUCGCUAGUAAUCGCGGAUCAGCAUGUCGCGGUGAAUACGUUCCCGGGUCUUGUACACACCGCCCGUCACACCAUGGGAGUGGGUUUUACCAGAAGUAGUUAGCCUAACUUUGUGGAGUGGGGGGAUUACCACAGGUAGUAAUUCAUGAUCUGGAAGC
Molecule: ribosomal RNA, 935 nt
Filed under: Achromobacter sp. GMCo20
Lineage: Bacteria; Pseudomonadati; Pseudomonadota; Betaproteobacteria; Burkholderiales; Alcaligenaceae
Description: bacterial SSU rRNA
Rfam family: Bacterial small subunit ribosomal RNA
Source: RNAcentral